Molecule: ribosomal RNA, 405 nt
Filed under: Triticum aestivum (bread wheat)
Lineage: Eukaryota; Viridiplantae; Streptophyta; Magnoliopsida; Poales; Poaceae
Description: partial small subunit ribosomal RNA
Source: RNAcentral
AUGUCAUUUUUCAUGAAGGUUGGAUCCAAGUUCCUUGCACAUAGUGGAGUCACCAAGGCCCGUGCCCCUGCCAUGCUCGGUCUGACUGUGGGCGUUCCAUCUCGGGGCUUCAGCGGCAGCCGAUGGCCUCCAACUAAUCUUGGGCACACUGCCUCUUGUCCCCAUGGGUAUCAGUCCCACACCGGACUCCUCCCUGUCUACCUCACUCCAUGCCCUUCCCAUGCAGAUCGUGCCCCCGAGUUGCGGCGGCCCAGUCCUGCCUCUCAAGUUGAUGCGGCAGUAGUGGCGGCGGUACCGACAGCUAGGCAGCUCCUUGCAAUGUACAGUGCAGUGCCUGAUCUAGUACAUAUGCCGUCCCAAUGGAUAUGGGCAUUUACAGCUGAUUUGAGAGCCUUUGGGAUAUGA